This 2601-nucleotide long non-coding RNA is filed under the name Heterocephalus glaber (naked mole-rat). RNAcentral describes it as "lncRNA (ENSHGLG00000045919.1)". The record is from RNAcentral. Lineage: Eukaryota; Metazoa; Chordata; Mammalia; Rodentia; Bathyergidae.
UGGUUUUCUAGGAAUCUUAAUUGCAGAGCUGAAGAUAGCUUUGGGAAUUGUAUGGUCUAAUCUCCUGUUACACAUAUUAGAAGCCAGGGUUGCGGGACUAGAAUCAGCAUUUUAAUCCCUCUUCUACUUUUUCUUGCAUCGGCCUUUUCAAGAGGCAGCAAACAUGAACCCCUAUCAUAAAGCCCAGGGACAGAAGUGACAGAAUCCUUUCUCUCUUGAGAGGACACAAUGAAUAAGGAAUGGAUUUUUUUUUUUUAACUUCCCUGAGCUAGGCAUGGUGGCACACACCUAUGAUCCCAGCAGUCUGAGAGGCUGAGGCAAGAGGAUUGCAAGUUCCAGAUCAGCCUGGGCAACUUAUAAUUUAGCAAGAUCUUGUCUCAAAAAAGGCUAGGGCCGGGGAUUUAGCUCAGUGGUUCUACUGCCUGCCUCAAAAGCACAAGGUCCCGAGUUCAAUCCCCAGUACCAAAAAAAAAAAGGCUAGGGAUGUAGCUCAGUUCAAAGGCCCUAGGUUCAGUGCCCAGCACCCCCCCACACACACACAAAAGUCUUGUGAGAGAGAGCAAUUUAGUAAUUUUAAUUAAUAAGUCUGAUGUUCCAUAGUUUGUGUUUUUUUACCAUUGAGGUACAGGAUUAGAAUCUCCCUAAAUAAUGUUAUCUUGGUAGCCAGCAGUUACCUUGGCAUUUUAUGCAGGCUUUCCUGGAUGUUCAAUAAUAAUGAAAUGAAAAUAUAGUCAUGGUUCAGAUGUGAUCCAGUGAAGCAGAAUGAGGUCACAGUUUGCUGUGGAAUGAUACUCUGUGCUUGCAAACUGAGUCCUAUUCACGAUGGAAGACAGACCAAUGGUUUAUAUUCUAAUAUAGAUUAUGUCAUAGAUCAUGGUUUUAUUUUUAAUAGGAAAAUCUCAAACAUAACUAAGUAAUGGAAAGUGUCCUAAAUUCUGCAAUGCAUUAGGUUCACUGUCUGUUAGAUUUCUCUCUCAUUUCUCCAGAGUCAUGGACUUCAUACCUGUCAGACAGAUGAACUUGGUCCAUCUUGCCUUUGGUCCCCCCUGUUGUGCUCGUGUUUUGCACAUUUGCAUUUACAUUUUCUUGUAUUAAAGGAAACAAAUUGCUCAUGAUUAGUGUGACAACAUGAAGGAGCAGUAGACCUGGGAAAUAGUUGCUUCUAGCUGGGGAAGUCAGUGUUGCAGAAACUCACUUUUUAAGAAGAAAUUGAAAGAAAAAGAUAGAUGAACCUUGGCCAACAGUUUACAAAUACCUAUUUGUUUUUUAAAUACUCCUUGGAAUGCAGACUAGCUAGAAUGUCUUCAUCCACAUACCAUUGUUCAAUCAUGAAUCAGAGGAAAAAUUUAAUUUGGAGAGUGCUGCUCUGAUUACCAAGUAUAUAAAUAAUAAGACAGCUGUAAGCAGUGGUAACUGCUAAGUUCACUGACCAAAAAACAUAAAAAUCAUGUUCAGAGUAGAGUUUCUAGGGGUUGGGGAUUUAGUUCAGUGGUUCCGCCGCCUGCCCUGCAAGUGCAAGGACCUGAGUUCGAUACUUGGUACCAAAACAAACAGAGUAUAGAGUUUCUAGUCAAGGUUAAAUACUCUUGGAGGGCCGGGGAUUUAGCGCAGUGGUUUUGCCGCCUGCUGCGCAAGCGCAAGGACCUGAGUUCAGUCUCCGGUACCAAAAAAAAAAAAAAAAGAAAAGAAAUACUCUUGGGCUUGUCUCUACCUAUUUAGAUAAAAAUUCAUUGAUGCACACCCAUAAUCCCAGCACUCGGGAGACUGAGGCAGGAGGGUAGCAAGUUCAGGGGCAGCCCAGCCUGGGCCACAUAGAGAGUUCCAGGCUAUCCUGGAUAUGAGCAAGUCCCUGACUCUAAAUAAAUAAAAUUCAAAAACCUUGCACUAAAGCAGACUUGUGGUCUAUUGUGGAAACUGGCACUUCCUGUUGAAAUAGUCAUGUUCUGCAAACUCUUGGAACUCCUUCCUGCAUGGCCUUGAAUGUUCAUUCUUGUUGUAUGGAAGAUUUAUAUCCAUCUAUUCAGAUAAUAUGUGAUUUCUAUAUUGUUUCCUGUGUAGUCCUCAGUCUUCCUAACUCACACUGGGGACAGGAGAGGUCGAGGUAGCCAGUCCUCUUAUUGUGCCAUAUUCUCCCCUUGCUUCUCACCUCUGAGUAAGACUGACAUCUCUUCUCCAUCGUGCGUGUCCUUUGAGUGUAAGGAAACUCUCUCAGUCAUUUCACUUUCAUCUGAAUUAAACCGGCAUUGAAUCUAUUAUUUCAUCUGAACAUGUUUAUGAUCUGGUGUUAUAUUUGGGGGCACGUUACCUUUCUGGUACUGUAAGCUGUAGUCCAUACUCACAGACUUCAGAAAACUGGUCAGUAAUUUACAUGUACGUGUCCCAUACUCUAGUGUGCUUGAAGUGACGGUCCAUAGCGUGUAGUAAUUUGUUAACUGUCAACUUUAACUCUCCUGUGUUUUGAGAACCACUAAACAUUCCUUGUCCUAUCAAGAUGACAAAAGCAGAAUGUAAUUUUGGGGGGAACCUUCGUGAUUACUCGUGACAAGUUUUGUUUUUAAAACUAAAAAUAAAGUUAGCUCAUUUUUUAAUCAGUCUAUUGAA